Molecule: long non-coding RNA, 241 nt
Filed under: Nicotiana benthamiana
Lineage: Eukaryota; Viridiplantae; Streptophyta; Magnoliopsida; Solanales; Solanaceae
Description: long non-coding RNA (NBEN_LNC018304)
Source: RNAcentral
GUUGAGGAAACAAGUUAGCUUUUCUAACACGAGGGGGAGACAUGAUAAACACUUGAGAAAAGAUUACAUGGGAUGAAUUAUCAUUUGUAUAUUUAAAUCCCCGAAUAUCAUGAUAUGAACCUAAAGUUCAUAAAAUGGAUAAUUCAAUUACAACAUAUUGCAAAGCUUGCUAUACGCAUUUGCUGACCCAAAGAAAGUAACUAUAUUCUCACUACAAAUACUCAUAUUAAGUCCCAGAAGG